UACGUAGGGAGCAAGCGUUUGUCCGGAAUCAUUGGGCGUAAAGCGCGCGUAGGCGGCCCCCGUAAGUCCGCUGUGAAAGUCAAAAGGCUCAACCUUUUGAAAGCCGGUGGAUACUGUGGGGGCUAGAGUACGGAAGAGGCGAGUGGAAUUCCUGGUGUAGCGGUGGAAUGCGCAGAUAUCAGGAGGAACACCAAUAGCGAAGGCAGCUCGCUGGGACGUUACUGAGCUGAGGCGCGAAAGCGUGGGGGAGCGAACAGG
This 258-nucleotide ribosomal RNA is filed under the name uncultured bacterium. RNAcentral's name for it is "partial 16S ribosomal RNA". It matches the Rfam family "Bacterial small subunit ribosomal RNA", at positions 524 to 776 of the family's 1533-position model. The record is from RNAcentral.